AGAGUUUGAUCCUGGCUCAGGAUGAACGCUGGCGGCGUGCCUAACACAUGCAAGUCGAGCGAGGGUUUGCUCAGUAUUGAGUAUUCUAAGACUAGAAUGUUCAAUUCUGAGCAAAACCAAGCGGCGGACGGGUGAGUAACGCGUGGGUAACCUGCCCUAUACACAUGGAUAACAUACUGAAAAGUUUACUAAUACAUGAUAAUAUAUAUUUGCGGCAUCGCAGAUAUAUCAAAGUGUUAGCGGUAUAGGAUGGACCCGCGUCUGAUUAGCUAGUUGGUGAGAUAACUGCCCACCAAGGCGACGAUCAGUAGCCGACCUGAGAGGGUGAUCGGCCACAUUGGAACUGAGACACGGUCCAAACUCCUACGGGAGGCAGCAGUGGGGAAUAUUGCACAAUGGGCGAAAGCCUGAUGCAGCAACGCCGCGUGAACGAUGAAGGUCUUCGGAUCGUAAAGUUCUGUUGCAGGGGAAGAUAAUGACGGUACCCUGUGAGGAAGCCCCGGCUAACUACGUGCCAGCAGCCGCGGU
Molecule: ribosomal RNA, 528 nt
Filed under: unidentified oral bacterium RP55-6
Lineage: Bacteria
Description: bacterial SSU rRNA
Rfam family: Bacterial small subunit ribosomal RNA
Source: RNAcentral